GACGAACGCUGGCGGCGUGCCUAAUACAUGCAAGUUGAGCGCUGAAGGUUGGUACUUGUACCAACUGGAUGAGCAGCGAACGGGUGAGUAACGCGUGGGGAAUCUGCCUUUGAGCGGGGGACAACAUUUGGAAACGAAUGCUAAUACCGCAUAAAAACUUUAAACACAAGUUUUAAGUUUGAAAGAUGCAAUUGCAUCACUCAAAGAUGAUCCCGCGUUGUAUUAGCUAGUUGGUGAGGUAAAGGCUCACCAAGGCGAUGAUACAUAGCCGACCUGAGAGGGUGAUCGGCCAAAUUGGGACUGAGACACGGCCCAAACUCCUACGGGAGGCAGCAGUAGGGAAUCUUCGGCAAUGGACGAAAGUCUGACCGAGCAACGCCGCGUGAGUGAAGAAGGUUUUCGGAUCGUAAAACUCUGUUGGUAGAGAAGAACGUUGGUGAGAGUGGAAAGCUCAUCAAGUGACGGUAACUACCCAGAAAGGGACGGCUAACUACGUGCCAGCCGCCGCAGUAA
RNAcentral lists this ribosomal RNA (513 nucleotides) under uncultured bacterium. RNAcentral describes it as "partial 16S ribosomal RNA". It matches the Rfam family "Bacterial small subunit ribosomal RNA", at positions 28 to 523 of the family's 1533-position model. The record is from RNAcentral.